RNAcentral lists this ribosomal RNA (202 nucleotides) under uncultured Glomus. RNAcentral describes it as "partial 18S ribosomal RNA". It matches the Rfam family "Eukaryotic small subunit ribosomal RNA", at positions 569 to 766 of the family's 1831-position model. Lineage: Eukaryota; Fungi; Glomeromycota; Glomeromycetes; Glomerales; Glomeraceae. The record is from RNAcentral.
AGCAGCCGCGGUAAUUCCAGCUCCAAUAGCGUAUAUUAAAGUUGCUGCAGUUAAAAAGCUCGUAGUUGGAUUUCUGACUUGGUGCGCUUGGCCCGCUGCGGUUACGUGGUGAGUGCCGGGUCGUGUCUGUCAUCCUUCUAGAACACGUUCCUACCCUUCACUGGGCCGGGGACGCUAUCUAGAUCUUUUACUUUGAAAAAAU